RNAcentral lists this ribosomal RNA (483 nucleotides) under uncultured bacterium. Its description in RNAcentral is "partial 16S ribosomal RNA". It matches the Rfam family "Bacterial small subunit ribosomal RNA", at positions 28 to 507 of the family's 1533-position model. The record is from RNAcentral.
GACGAACGCUGGCGGCGUGCUUAACACAUGCAAGUCGAACGCUGAAGCUCAGCUUUUGUUGGGUGGAUGAGUGGCGAACGGGUGAGUAACACGUGAGUAACCUGCCCCCUUCUUUGGGAUAACGCCCGGAAACGGGUGCUAAUACUGGAUAUUCACUGGUCUUCGCAUGGGGGCUGGUGGAAAGGGCUUUUCUGGUGGGGGAUGGGCUCGCGGCCUAUCAGCUUGUUGGUGGGGUGAUGGCCUACCAAGGCUUUGACGGGUAGCCGGCCUGAGAGGGUGACCGGUAACAUUGGGACUGAGAUACGGCCCAGACUACUACGGGAGGCAGCAGUGGGGAAUAUUGCACAAUGGGCGCAAGCCUGAUGCAGCGACGCCGCGUGAGGGAUGGAGGCCUUCGGGUUGUGAACCUCUUUCGCUCAUGGUGAAGCCGCAACAAUGGUUGUGGUGAGGGUAGUGGGUAAAGAAGCGCCGGCUAACUACGUG